Anisakis simplex (herring worm) is the source of this 46-nucleotide non-coding RNA. Lineage: Eukaryota; Metazoa; Nematoda; Chromadorea; Rhabditida; Anisakidae. The record is from Rfam.
CCAAUGGCCCUCUUUAGGGCCACCAAAAUCAAAUUUGGGGUUCUCG